This 425-nucleotide long non-coding RNA is filed under the name Ananas comosus (pineapple). RNAcentral's name for it is "long non-coding RNA (ACOM_LNC007936)". The record is from RNAcentral. Lineage: Eukaryota; Viridiplantae; Streptophyta; Magnoliopsida; Poales; Bromeliaceae.
UAAAAGUUUAAUUUUUUUAAAAAAAAUAGAUUUAAAAUUUUGACAUUAUUUUAAAAUUUUGAUGUAAAUUUUUAAUAUUUAAUUUUUAAUUUGAAUUUAAAUUAAUAUAUUAUAAAGAUAAUGUUAGUAUAUGAAUUUGAUUACAUUUUUUAUAUCUGCCUGAACCAAACACCGAUAAUGGGAAUGAUUUAUUCUUAUUCCGAUUCAGGUGUUGAACCAAACAGAAUUAGAUAAUGAGUCAUUUCGAUUCCGAUUCCGAUUCUGACUCUGACUUCGAACUAAACACGUCCUAUAUGGCUAUAUAUACUCCAUGCACCAAUAAUUCAUUUUCUCUCAUCAAUCUCAUGUCACAUCUAUCAAUUUUUUUUUCCUUUAUAAUAAAACUAUAGGCUUGAUCUUUUAAUUUUAAACAUAAAAUAAAAUAC